RNAcentral lists this long non-coding RNA (1920 nucleotides) under Olea europaea subsp. europaea. Lineage: Eukaryota; Viridiplantae; Streptophyta; Magnoliopsida; Lamiales; Oleaceae. The record is from RNAcentral.
CUCUCCUCACGCCUUCGUCCGUUCAGACGGUCGUUCCAUCUCCACCCAAACCAAUUUUCAUCCUCGAAUUCUGGUUAGUUAGGGAUUCAUGCCAUCCCCGUAUCAUCCCUACUACCAUCAUCAACACCGCUGGUACUCCGAUUUCCGCUCCGCCCUCUCCCUCCUGGUCAGUAGUUGUUUAGUUUUACUUUCUACUUUUAUUUAUGAAAUGGAAUCUAUUAACUAAGUUAAUUAGCUAAUUAAUUCAUAGAUAAGUUCUUAAUUUUUUUACUAAAAUUGUAAUUUGGGCCUUAAAGGUAAUUGGAGGAAAAGGGUUCUUUUAGCGCUUAAUUUUAUGGAUAGAAAGAAUUUUGACAGAAAUAAUUAGAGUUAAUUUCUUGAAGUCUUCCAUGAGUACCAAUUUUAUAGGCUCAAUUCUAUUUUAUGAACUUCUGGAUGGUUUUGGCUGAUACGUUUAGGCCAGAUCUAGUAUUUUAAAAUGAUAGAAACCUAAUUCAAGGAUGCUUGUUGAUUGUAUGCUUGCUAGAUCUGAGGUUGCUUUGAUUUUCUUUGCCUGUUUAGGGAAAGGUGAAUUCAUGAACUUUAUGGAAAAAUUGAAUUUUUACAGCGUGACUUGUGGAGAUUGUGUCGUUGACUAUUAAUUUGGGUUUUCCCAAUUUGCUUUUUGAGCGCUAGACUUUUUCCCAAUUACACCAUACAAUCUACCUAGCAAGAGAAUAAAAUGAUGAUUCCUGUUCUUCUUCUUGGCUGAACACAUUGAAAAAUUGAUGGACUGUCGAUCAACUCCUCAUAGCUUGUAUAUCUUUUCGGUUUUGACAGCAUUGACAUUUUGGAUGACAGUUGAGGUUAGCAUCCAUUUUCUAAAUUUCUAAUCACUUUCUAUUUCUUUUAUUUGUGAAGAUAUGUUUAGUUUUCUCUCUUUGACUUCUUUUUGAGGAUUCUCCACCAUUUGAGAGCUCCUUUUCUUCCCUUCCUGCUUUAUUAUUUGAUAAAUGGACCCCUAAUAGAAAAUCCCUAGCACUCAACCUUCCUUAGAAUUUCAAACUCCUAUCCUAUAAAUUGUGCAUCUGGAAGGCUAGAAUUAUGGGAUUUCUAUGAGUAAUCUGUAAAAUUAAGUAGCUUAUAUCAAAAGAGAGAAGUCAAAUUCAAUCGUUGUUAUUUUCUUAUCAACGAAACUUGUUCUCUCGUUAAAUGUUAAAUCCAACAAUGAUGUGACCUGUGAGGUUAUAUUGGGUCUCUUAAUUGAUUUAUGUUGGUCAUUACUUGGAUCUUGUGUGAGAUCCUGCUAAGUCUUAGAAGAGAUCCUGCUAAUUCAUGUCCAUAAGGAGUUUUGGCAUGCAUUUGGCUUCAGUUGGUUAGUUGGAUAGUAAAAUUUUGAGAAUUAGCAUUGAUUAGUCUCAUUUGUAAAUUAACUAUGUUCAGAAGAAAGGAUUCUGCAUUUUACUUAACACAGUUUUAAACCAUAAAACCUGGGUCUCUUGUUGAUAGAGAAAUAGUAUUUCUACAAUUAUAGACUAAUUUGUUUAUAAUGCUUAAAGCUUCUAUAUAAAUUCUCUAAGCUGUUUGUCCUUGGCCUAUGUUGGUGGUUUUUUCAUUGGUCGUUAUCUGGUGCAUUAUUUUUAUGCAAUUCAAAUGAUAAUACUUAUCUAGUGAGAAUUAUGUUAGCUGAAUUUUUUGUUAUCUUGUUUGCAUCAACAGACUGCAAUGGAUAAAAGAAGUUGGCCUAUCUUUAUCUUCUUGUUCUAUAGGCCAGGAGUGAUAUUUAAAGCACAGCUUAUGUCGAAAAUUAUUGAAACGAAAAUUAAGGACGCCAAUUGGGUGGUUCACACACUACUUAGUUAGUGGUUUUUUUAUUUUUUAUUUAUUUAUUUAUUUUUAUUUUUUUUGGAUGUUUAGGUAUUUUAGAAUUUUGGAUUUGGA